Molecule: long non-coding RNA, 3679 nt
Organism: Aegilops tauschii subsp. strangulata
Lineage: Eukaryota; Viridiplantae; Streptophyta; Magnoliopsida; Poales; Poaceae
Source: RefSeq, a predicted model, not a curated record
GUGAGAAGUUGGUCGGCAAGACUGCAUUGGACGUCAAGUUGUACAUUGAUGGUGUGUCUUCGUCAGGAGUUGAGUUGCAUGUCCGGCCGUCGUUCCAAUUUACUUCGGCUCCUGCAGAAUUUGAUAAUCUCCUUGGCGUGAUGUGCAUUGGGUGGCUUGGGUUUGGUGGCAUGAUAUGCUUUGGCUGGCUGGGGAGGGCUUGUAUAUAUAUAUGUGUAUAUAUAUGUAUAUAUAGAAAGUCUAUUAAGGACCCAGGAUGAAGAAUAAGUAAUUCUUCAACCCAGUCAUCCGACCGAGCAACAGUGUGGCUUAACGACUCCUCAACCGAUAAAAAUAUUAUUCCACGUCUACCGCCGUAAAUUUACCUUGCUUACGUUGAUGCGACGGUUGACUGGUCCUUUGGAGCUAGCCCACGCUACGUCUCCACCCGUACCCAUGUCUUUUCUAAUCAGGUGCGAGCGGUUCACGUUCCUCUCUCCGCCCCUCCUCGCUGGCGAUUGCGGUUUGCGGAGGCGGCGGCAGCCAUGUCGAUGGCGCCGGAGGGACAAUCUUGAAGCAAGGGCUACCCCUCUCUCUCCUGCGUGGAUUAUCCCCCCUUUCCCUCUUCAUGCGGUAGCGACCAGGAGGCGAACUGGGCUGUGCAUCGAUUUGGUGCGAGCUUGGCGGCGGCAACGAUCUUUUCCGGCGUCCCUCUCCAUCGUCAGCGGUCUUCUCGUUGGGUUCUGGAUUUUUGAGGAGCAGGGUAAAGAAAGGGUAAAAAGACCAAGAAAUUAAGGAGAUGAAAGAGAAGAGAUGAGCUUGCAUACUGAAGGGGGUGAUGGAGAAAACCUUAGCUCGUCAGUGGGAUCAAAUCAAGGAGGUGGGGAUCACGCAGGAGGAGAAGCUGCGGAGGAGGAACAACACCAGAGUAUCUUCUUAGAUCCAGCCAAACGUGAUAGCCCUGUUUCUUGUCUAUCUUCUCUGUUUUAGAUGAACUGUUAUUCCUUAUCUCUUCUUUAGAGCUCCACUGCUAAAAAAAAAUAGAACCAGUUCCGGCCAUUUUCACUUGGAAUGGAUUUGGGAUGCUGCUACUGUAUUUAGGAUGGUAUCCCAUCAUUCUGAAUCUGCUUCAGAACUGAACACUAGUGACGCUUCAGAACUUUCUGUAGGUGCAGACCUGAAGACUAGUGAGACACAGUAGCAACUAGCGAAAAUGACAAGUGCAGAAUUUUGUUUUCCUUUUACAAUUCAUCGUACAUUUUGUAGCUCUUUGUCACCUCUGUGAAAGCACUGCAUACGCCUUCAGUACACUAACCUUUCUCAGGUUUGCUUCUCACAUUUUUACAAUGUGCUUAAGGAGAAUGAUGAAUGGUUAAGCACCUAUUUAUUUCUAGUUUUGAUUUGUUGAUGCACACUCAGCACAAGAAUAAAACUGUACAUGCUCCAAUUUUACGUUGAUGUAAACAAGCGAUGCAAUCUACUCCCUCCGUUCCCAAAUGUAAGUCUUUUAAGAUACUCCAACAAGUGACUAUAUACGGAGCAAAAUGAGCGAAUAUGCACUCUAAAAUAUGUCUACAUACAUCCGUAUCUUAUAGUCUAUUUGAAAUGUCUAAAAAGACUUACAUUUAGGAACGGAGGGAGUACGUUGCAUGCAAGUUUGGAAAAUGUAUUAGUUGGACAUGCUCCUAUUUUUUGUUGGCCCUAUAUCUCUUAUCUUUGUCUCUCAGAAUUCUUACAAACAGGAUUAGGACCUCUCAGUGUAUUAGUUUAACUGUUGAGGGUCCCAAUCCUGUUUCUAUUUUGGUUCGUCUUGUUUUAGCUCCUACUGACCUUGUUCAUGGAUACAACAACCGAGAAGCGCAAGAUGAUUUUGCAAGUUUUGGUUCAGUUGACACUUAAGUGUUUUUGUUACAGAUUUGUAGCUCCUCUUUCUUUUAAUCUUCUUUCUAAAAAGUAACUCCACUGAUUAGUAGGAUCAAUAACAAACAUAAUAAAGUUGCCACACUUGCAUUCUUGGAAGAUCCAUUGAAGGAACAUGGCAAAUCUCACCAAUUGAUGUUUGUUUUAAAGAAAAAUAGCUCGACACCAUCACAUUUGCAUGGGCAUGUCUAGGUUUUUCCUCUCAAGGAAACGCACUCAUUCUCUUCUGAGUUUGAGUUUAAUCUGUACUGUACUAUUUCCAUUAGCACUAUGCAUUUCAGUUUUGGACACUCUAAUGGCAACAUUAGGUAUGCUUAGCAAAACUAAUCAUUCUGGGAUCAACACAUCAUAUGACGAUACAUGGGCUUUAGUUACCUCAUAGAACUGUGUACAUGUUUAUUGAUCCAAAAAAGAUGUCUUGUAAAACGUGAUCUUGAUGAUGGCAUUACCCUUUACUCUACCUUCGCACAAUAUGUCCAUGUAUAUUUAAUGCGAUCUUUCACUAUAGAACAAUAGUAGUUGUUGUAAGUUUUUCCUAAAGUUUCUGCCAAAAUCAUCAUGUUAGAGCCACUGGUUUCUGGAAACUGUAAUGGGGAAGAACCCAUUUAUCAAUUUCAGAACCAGGAUUUUUGGGUUGCAUAUUUUAUAAUGUGUUCGAUUGUUUGGAACUAGUGGAAUAAAAUUGCAUAGCAAUAUUAAAUUUUACAUGUCCUGUGUUGCCUCGUUGACCUCUAGUUAGGUAGCAGUUCUAUGUUGGUAUUGAGCUGGUCAACAGAAAGUGCAUAGGCGUCCUGCGGCAUCUACCACAACGCAAGCAUAGCUGCGACCUUGGUAUCUAGCCUCUUGCAAAUUUUCUUAAGCUUGUAGUUUGGGUUCUUGCAAUUUUUCUCCAGCUUGUAGUUUGGGUGGAUGCUAGGUGUUAAUUUUGUUGGCAUGUUCUUCUACUGUUUCGUCAUUCUCAUGGAGGAACAAAUAUCCAAUGUCAAAAGGAAGGUAUUUGUUUCCAACUAGCGUUGUUUCUUGAUGUGGUUUAUAUCAAUUGAAGCGCGGUUCAUUCUCUAGUUCAGUUUUUGUUUUUGGAGUGAUCCACGUGAGGCCGCACCAUAUAACUAAGCUCUAGUUAUUGUCAUCAAUCAUGAUGAACUCCAUGGAAACAUAAUGUUUUCUCCUCUUUGCAGAAUUCCCCUAGUGUGUAUCGACUUUAGGGCUAUUGUGUAAUGGACUUGUGUAAUUGCCUUAUGAAAGUCACUGCUUGAAUUUGCCUUGCAUUUUUUGUAAGGUAUGGAAGAAAGUUUUUUUGGUAGAAUGUACAUGAUGAGCAAUUCUGGUUCAUCGGUUGCACCAUAUGCAAAUACGCAUGUAUUUUUUUAGCUGACCUUAUCUCACUUGAUCCACGUUUUGUGAUUUUAUCAGGAAAAUGGCAAAUAGUGAAUCUGCUAUAAUCAAGGAAGGAAGAAGCUGUUUGUAAGCGACUUGGAGACUAAGUAUCUUGAGACACUCAACAUGUGCUAGUUUUAGUUAUAUAGUACCAAUGCAUGGGAGAUAUACUAGUUGAUAGUCAUUACGUUGCACGAAUCUGUAGAAAACAGUUUUAUAUUGCAAACUUUUAUGGGCACACGAGGCCAUGUGAGAAGUUCUUAUGCCGUCUGAUUUUGGUCUUGCUGAUUAUUCUUAUUUCGUGUGAUUUUACAAUAAGCUAUAGUGAUGCAUAUUUCAUUUUUUUUCUUGUCCUGACGUGUGAAAUACAGGUUUUAUAAAUAAAUAAACGACAGUUUGCUUA